RNAcentral lists this ribosomal RNA (467 nucleotides) under uncultured bacterium. RNAcentral describes it as "partial 16S ribosomal RNA". It matches the Rfam family "Bacterial small subunit ribosomal RNA", at positions 28 to 507 of the family's 1533-position model. The record is from RNAcentral.
GACGAACGCUGGCGGCGUGCUUAACACAUGCAAGUCGAACGGAAAGGCCUCUGUCGGUGGGUACUCGAGUGGCGAACGGGUGAGUAACACGUGAGUAACCUGCCCUUGACUUUGGGAUAACUUCAGGAAACUGGGGCUAAUACCGGUUAGGAGCUCCUGCUGCAUGGGGGGGGUUGGAAAGUUUCGGCGGGUAGGGCUGGACUCGCGGCGUAUCGGCUUGUUGGUGUGGUUGUGGCUUGCCAGGGCGUUGACGGGUAGCCGGCCUGCGAGGGUGACCGGCGACACUGGGACUGAGGGACGGCACAGGCUCCUACGGGAGGGAGAUGUGGGGAAUAUUGAAGGAGGAGUGGCAGCCGGAUGCAGAAGCGCCGUGUGCGGGAUGACGGUCUUCGGGUUGAAAACCGCGUUCGCUCAUGACGAAGCUUUGUGUGACGGUAGUGGGUAAAGAAGCACCGGCUAACUACGUG